RNAcentral lists this long non-coding RNA (1100 nucleotides) under Macaca mulatta (Rhesus monkey). RNAcentral describes it as "lncRNA (ENSMMUG00000063828.1)". The record is from RNAcentral. Lineage: Eukaryota; Metazoa; Chordata; Mammalia; Primates; Cercopithecidae.
CCAUUAAAAUAAACACCAAAGAAAGUAAUAAUGAGACUAGUAAAGAACUACAAUACCUUGGAGUCCCACGAGCAUUUUAUGACACAAGGAGCCCACGAAACAGAUUGGAAAAAGGGGAAAGCCUGCAGAAUAGAUGGCAACUUCACUAACAUCUUUAUUUAUUUUUUAAAAAUUGUAUCUAUUCCUAUGCUCUAAUGAUCUAGAAUUUUCAGCGAAUCCCUGGGAAACUUAAAGAAUGCUGUGAGAGCAUUCUUGUUUAAAUAUUUAAGAAAAGAGACAUUUACUUUCAUAAAGAAGAACAUAUGGCCUUGUUUGUUACUGUGAAUCCUUGGUUCUAACUACUGCUGUCACCCAGGCAUGUGUUCCCAACAUUAACCUUUGUCUGAACUAUUCUUAUCCCUAUGUAGGUGUAUUCUAUAUCUGCAUCUUCCAUUAAGCCUUCAACUACCAUUUAACACACACACACACACACUCUCACACACACACACACACGCACACACAAAUUGGCCCCCAAGUAUUUUUAGGUUUCAAGCCUCUUGUUUUUCACAUGUUAGACUCAUGGACCUUAUAUUUAAGUAUAUUUUCUGCACCUGCUGUCUGCCCAGAUCUCUCCCUUAAUUGACCUGAGGUCUCUCCUCUCUCUGAUGCUGAAGGGUCUGCUUAGGGUGAAAGGAUUUUCUAUACUGUGGUGAUUACAAAAAUGUAUGAUUGAAGUUUAUUAUAUGUCAAUGAUGUCCUGGUUUUUUAAUAACGGGAUUUAUCCUAAUAACCUUGAAAUAAAUAAAAUACAACAUUCAUCUUUUGUGGCUUACUAAAAAAUAGCUGUUAAUGGACACUGUAUCCCCUUUAAAAUUUUCUUCUUUUUUUACUUUGUUCAUACACCUCUCCAUGGAAAUCCAAAUAUUAAUUGAAAAAAAAUGGUGUUAGUUUUCUUUGAGAUAAUAAAAUUUUAAUGUGUUGUAAUAAGUAAAGAGGAAAAUACGUUUAUGAAACAAAUUACUAUUAGAAACCUGUUUUCGAAGAGUUUUUCUUUCCCAUUACAUGAUGGAUGAAUUUACAUACACGUACAGGCAAAAAAGCUGUAAUCCUAAAUUGUUUGG